CUGUAUCGCUUUUCGUUCAUCCUGACCUAUGGUGUGUUGCUGUGUUCAGGAGGAUCUUUGGUUGUCGGCCUUCCCCAUUGGAACCGAGUGGGAAAACAUUGACAAGAUAAAGGAGUUCAACUGGAACUUUCAAAAUUUAGAGGGCGGGGGUGGUGCAGUGGCCGCAUGAACAUGCUCAGGGGCAUCAUCGGCGGGGCGCUCAGGAGACGGGCGAGGUGGAUGCUUCCCACCUAGAUGGUACACAACAUGGGGGAGUCCAUCUCCGACCGUCCCAAGCACGACCAUGAUAGACCUACAACGGCAGGAGCUCUGGGCUGAAGAAAUUUGAAGAAGCUUGAAGCCGGACAAAGUAAAGAGUAGCGAGUAAUAAUGUAGUGCUAGUUAUGUUGUACAGUAGCCAGC
Long non-coding RNA from Triticum dicoccoides, 402 nucleotides. RefSeq lists it as uncharacterized. The record is from RefSeq and is a predicted model, not a curated record. The transcript has 4 exons. Lineage: Eukaryota; Viridiplantae; Streptophyta; Magnoliopsida; Poales; Poaceae.